AGCACUUCUCAGCCCUUAACAUUUAGAGCCAUAUAUUAGCUGUAUUUGUUCUUCUUUUUCUCUUUUUGAGAAGGUGGUGGAGGUGAUGAUGGUGGUAUUGGCGAUGAUGUUGGAGGCAGUGGCUACAGUGGAGGCUGUAGAGGGUAUGAUGUCGGCGGUGGCUGAGGUUGUGGAGGCAGCAGUGGUUGGCGGUGCUGUUGGAAGUGAUGGUGAUCAUGGGGGUGGUGGGGGUGGAGGUGGUUGUAUGGGACACCUCUGAGAAACAUCGUGCCCUUGGCUGGAGGACGGGUUUCAGGGCUGCAGGAGUUGCUGCUCCCCCUCCUGGAGGCCAUUUGAUACGACGCCGUAUCUGAUCUGUUCCUUCGCAAAGCUGAUCAUCCGAUUAAUUCACCGCAGGAAGACAGUAUCAGUUGAGCAGCAGAGAAUCCUAUGACCAAGAUUUAUUGCACGGUGUUGGCUCACGUGAUUAUGGAGGAUGGGAAGACCCAGGAUCUGCUGUCUGCAAGCUGGAGACCCAGGAGAGCCUGUGGUGUAGACUCUAAGGUUUAUGAGGAUUAAGUGAGACGAUGGGUGCAGAGCGCCGAGGCCGGGGUCUGCUCAGGACCUUCUGCAUGCUUGGCUGGCAGAAGCUCUUAGCAAAUAUCAAGCUACGCACUGUUCCUGAAGAAGUUGGUGCUGAAGCAAACGCACAGUGUACACCUGUCUUUUUCCAUCACCAGGAGUGAGAAGCAAUUCUUGUCACUCUGACGUGAAGGAUGUGUCUGCCUGCGGCACCUUCGCUGCUCCCGUGAGCCGUGUGAGUUGAGUGAGUGAUGAGAUGGAGAAAGUGGCGUUCUCGUAACAGCUGGUCCUAGAAUUCCUUUGUAAUGGGAGUGAAACUCAGCACAUCGACUCAACUGUGAAAGAAAUAUAAACUUUAUUUUCAUAUGAUGUUGAUUUU
Molecule: long non-coding RNA, 940 nt
Filed under: Equus caballus (horse)
Lineage: Eukaryota; Metazoa; Chordata; Mammalia; Perissodactyla; Equidae
Description: lncRNA (ENSECAG00000049346.1)
Source: RNAcentral